This 700-nucleotide ribosomal RNA is filed under the name Clostridioides difficile. Its description in RNAcentral is "bacterial LSU rRNA". It matches the Rfam family "Bacterial large subunit ribosomal RNA", at positions 1818 to 2516 of the family's 2925-position model. The record is from RNAcentral. Lineage: Bacteria; Bacillati; Bacillota; Clostridia; Peptostreptococcales; Peptostreptococcaceae.
GGUUUCUGCUAAGUCGCAAGACGAUGUAUAGGAGCUGACGCCUGCCCGGUGCUGGAAGGUUAAGGGGAUCUGUUAGAGCAAUCGAAGCAGUGAACUUAAGCCCCAGUAAACGGCGGCCGUAACUAUAACGGUCCUAAGGUAGCGAAAUUCCUUGUCGGGUAAGUUCCGACCCGCACGAAAGGCGUAACGAUUUGGGCACUGUCUCAACAACAGACUCGGUGAAAUUGUAAUUCCGGUGAAGAUGCCGGAUACCUGCGACAGGACGGAAAGACCCCAUGGAGCUUUACUGUAGCUUGACAUUGGGUCUUGGUACUACAUGUACAGGAUAGGUGGGAGGCUUUGAAACCAGGACGCCAGUUUUGGCGGAGCCAUCCUUGGGAUACCACCCUUGUAGUACUGGGACACUAACCAGAGGCCGUGCAUCUGGCCUUGGUACACUGUCAGGGGUGCAGUUUGACUGGGGCGGUCGCCUCCCAAAAGGGAACGGAGGCGCUCAAAGGUUCUCUCAGUACGGUCGGAAAUCGUACGUAGAGUGUAAAGGCAAAAGAGAGCUUGAUUGCAAGACAUACAGGUCGAGCAAGGAUGAAAAUCGGACGUAGUGAUCCGGUGGUUCUGCGUGGAAGGGCCAUCGCUCAACGGAUAAAAGCUACCCUGGGGAUAACAGGCUUAUCUCCCCCAAGAGUCCACAUCGACGGGGAGG